GAUGAACGCUAGCGGCAGGCCUAACACAUGCAAGUCGAGGGGUAGUUACUUUCGGGUAAUGAGACCGGCGCACGGGUGCGUAAACGCGUAUGCAAUCUACCUUUUACAGGGGAAUAGCCCAGAGAAAUUUGGAUUAAUGCCCCAUAGUAUGUAUGAAUCGCAUGGUUUGUAUAUUAAAGUUCCAAACGGGUAAAAAGAUGAGCAUGCGUCCCAUUAGUUAGUUGGUAAGGUAACGGCCUUACCAAGACGAUGAUGGGUAGGGGUCCCUGAGAGGGAGAUCCCCCACACUGGUACUGAGACACGGACCAGACUCCUACGGGAGGC
Molecule: ribosomal RNA, 324 nt
Filed under: uncultured bacterium
Lineage: Bacteria
Description: bacterial SSU rRNA
Rfam family: Bacterial small subunit ribosomal RNA
Source: RNAcentral